Molecule: non-coding RNA, 30 nt
Filed under: Mus musculus (house mouse)
Lineage: Eukaryota; Metazoa; Chordata; Mammalia; Rodentia; Muridae
Source: RNAcentral
CAGACAGGAUAUCCAGUGCAGGUGUUUGAG